RNAcentral lists this ribosomal RNA (254 nucleotides) under uncultured bacterium. RNAcentral describes it as "partial 16S ribosomal RNA". It matches the Rfam family "Bacterial small subunit ribosomal RNA", at positions 524 to 776 of the family's 1533-position model. The record is from RNAcentral.
UACGUAGGGGGGCAAGCGUUAUCCGGAAUUACUGGGCGUAAAGCGCACGCAGGCGGUUCGCCAAGUUUGGAGUGACAGUUGUCGGCUCAACCGACAAAGGACUUCAAAAACUGGUGAACUUGAGGACGAGAGAGGAACAUGGAACUCCAGGUGUAGUAGUGAAAUGCGUAGAUAUCUGGAAGAACACCAAUGGCGAAGGCAAUGUUCUGGCUCGUUUCUGACGCUCAGGUGCGAAAGCCAGGGGAGCGAACGGG